Molecule: long non-coding RNA, 790 nt
Filed under: Sander lucioperca (pikeperch)
Lineage: Eukaryota; Metazoa; Chordata; Actinopteri; Perciformes; Percidae
Description: lncRNA (ENSSLUG00000019162.1)
Source: RNAcentral
CACAACCCAGCGAGCCUCCCAGACAGAGAGGAACCCCAGUAACUCCUGCAUCUCCAUCUCUAUUCCUCACCCUCUCAUAACUCCCUCUUUCGCUCCCUCACUUCCUCACCCUUCCUGAUUCACCUCCACACAAUAGACUUCCUCUGCAAGCACCAGCCUGAAGGGGAAAAGGGGGGUGAGAUACAGUUUCUCUGCAACAAUGGAAAUUCAAUCAGGAAAUGGCGAGGAGGUGGCGAGCGCAGUGUCAGCGACCUCGGGCUUCGUUUCCCAUAGUCCCUCUGGGCUUCAGGUAGAGGCAUCAGACGAUCCUGUGCUCAAAGAGGACCUGCAGGCUGCUAAGAGGAUUGAGAGGUUUGACAUCCCACUCGAUAACCUGAAGAGGAUGUUUGAGAAGCCAGCUGUGGCAAACACAGAAGUGUCCGUCCACACCUCCUCGUCUAAAAGAGUGAUGUCCGGUAAUCUCACACAGGCUGACCCAUCAACAGAUCAGACCAUGGCCUCACCUACAGUCACCACUCUUUCUGCAGACAGCGCAGGUAGAUCCACAUCAGGACGUCCCAAGGACAGGGCCCCCAGCGCCGAGGAACAGGAGGACGAGCCGGUGUCUGUGAAAGAGCGGCUGGCGAUGUAUCAGGCUGCCGUGUCCAAGAAAGAAACCAGCAGCUCCUCUUCCGCUGCGGUAAGACGAUACUUCCACAUGGGUUUAAGAGGAGAUGGCAGUGAGGACAUGCAGGCAGCCAGGGAGAUGGCAGACACUCACAGAUAUUGUAAUAAUACAUUAUGUAACAAA